GAUGAACGCUGGCGGCGUGCCUAAUACAUGCAAGUCGAGCGAAGCGGGGACGGGUGAGGAACACGUGGAUAACCUCCUAUAAGACAGGGAUAAAUCCGGGAAACCGGAGCUAUACCGGACACUUAAAGAUGGAUCCGCGCUGCAUUGGCUAGUUGGUAAGGUAACGGCUUACCAAGGCAACGAUGCAUAGCCGACCGGUGAGGUUGACCGGCCACACUGGACUUGGGCCACGGUCCGAAUUCCUACGGGAGGCAGCGUUAGGUAAUCUUCCGCAUGGAGCGAAAGCCUGACGGGGCAACCCCGCGUAGUUGAUUAGGGUCUCCGGUUCGUAAGACUCUGUUAUUAGGGAGGCGGUACCUAAUCAGAAAGCCACGGCUAACUACGUGCCAGCAGCCGCGGUAAUUC
This 405-nucleotide ribosomal RNA is filed under the name uncultured bacterium. RNAcentral's name for it is "partial 16S ribosomal RNA". It matches the Rfam family "Bacterial small subunit ribosomal RNA", at positions 28 to 526 of the family's 1533-position model. The record is from RNAcentral.